Molecule: long non-coding RNA, 355 nt
Organism: Rana temporaria (common frog)
Lineage: Eukaryota; Metazoa; Chordata; Amphibia; Anura; Ranidae
Exons: 4
Source: RefSeq, a predicted model, not a curated record
GAAGUGAUUUAAGGGAUGAACAGGAAGUGAGGUCAAGCAUAAAAAGGAAGUUACGAGACAAGACGAGAAUUGGGGGGAAGUGGAUAGAAGACAUUGCUGGAACUGGCAGCAGAGGAGAUCACAUCAAAGAUGAACAAGGACUGGGAUCACAUGAUCAAGAGAUUAUUGAACCUCACUCUGGAGAUCAUCUGUGUGCUGAUUGGAGAGCCUGGAGACCAAUUGAUUCCUCCACCUCCUGACCUGCCACCUGAGAAAAAACAUAAGAAGAAGAUUCUAGAAGUCACCAACAAGAUCUUUGGGCUACUGACGGGAGAGGUUCCUAUAAGGUGUCAGGAUGUCACUGUCUAUUUCUCCA